GAGAGACAUGAGGCUAAAAUACUGUGUGAGGUGAAAGGGACAUGCUGAAAACAACGAGAUGUUAGUUAGUUAGUUAGUUAGUUAGUUAGUUACACUUCCCGAUGUCAUCCUCUCUGAUGCUCCUUAUAACUGGAGAACUGGCCCGAGAAUCAUCACGUUUUAUGUUUUCUUCAGUAUCACAGUAAUCCACUGAUAGUUGUCAGUACAUAUAAUGAUAGAUAGCAAACAGGAACUGGAAAUAGUGAAUUCGGCAUACUUAAUUUUUCAAAAAUGUAAACAAAUAUUGUUUUUUAAAAAUCUGAAUCCAUGGCAACAUGCUUCCUGUUUCUUGUGAAAGUUUACAUUUGUUAAUUGUUCAACAGCCUAUUCAAUGUUUGAUAGCUGUAAUUAUGAGCUACAAUGAGUAGUCUACUACUACUACUACUAAUAAUAAUAAUCAUUAUCAUUGCCUACUGUAAUUCCAUCACAGGACAAUAAUACUGGUACAUUCAUGUUGAUCAAAGUGCAUUGUCUGUAAAAUAAAAAAGUAUAUUUGAGAUAAAAAGUCGUAUGAAGUGAAAAGCUUGAUAAAAAUGGGUCAUGGGGUGAUUUUAAAAAAAAAAAAAAAAAAAAAAAAUCAAAUAGCGGUAUCCUGAUUCCAUAAUUGGUCCAUAAACACUGGUAUGAUCUGUUGCUUCAGCAGCUGUAAUGCACUAAGUGGGUUAAUGUGUAAACUGAUGUUUUCCAUACUUAGCAUAAUCAGAGAUUUGUUAAAACCCAAACAUGUUACUGAAAUGAACAGAAGUUUUCACUUUA
Molecule: long non-coding RNA, 795 nt
Organism: Seriola aureovittata
Lineage: Eukaryota; Metazoa; Chordata; Actinopteri; Carangiformes; Carangidae
Exons: 2
Source: RefSeq, a predicted model, not a curated record